GAUGAACGCUGGCGGCGUGCCUAAUACAUGCAAGUCGAGCGAACGGACGAGAAGCUUGCUUCUCUGAUGUUAGCGGCGGACGGGUGAGUAACACGUGGAUAACCUACCUAUAAGACUGGGAUAACCUCGGGAAACCGGAGCUAAUACCGGAUAAUAUUUUGAACCGCAUGGUUCAAAAGUGAAAGACGGUCUUGCUGUCACUUAUAGAUGGAUCCGCGCUGCAUUAGCUAGUUGGUAAGGUAACGGCUUACCAAGGCAACGAUGCAUAGCCGACCUGAGAGGGUGAUCGGACAGACUGGAACUGAGACACGGUCCAGACUCCUACGGGAGGCAGCAGUAGGGAAUCUUCCGCAAGGGGCGAGAGCCUGACGGAGCAAAGCCGCGUGAGUGAUGAAGGUCUUCGGAUCGUAAAGCUCUGUUAUUAGGGAAGAACAUAUGUGUAAGUACCUGUGCACAUCUUGACGGUACCUAAUCAGAAAGCCACGGCUAACUACGUG
This 497-nucleotide ribosomal RNA is filed under the name uncultured bacterium. RNAcentral describes it as "partial 16S ribosomal RNA". It matches the Rfam family "Bacterial small subunit ribosomal RNA", at positions 28 to 507 of the family's 1533-position model. The record is from RNAcentral.